GACUAAUUACCCGAGUAGUCCUGGCCGUAAACGCUGUGAGCAAGAUGAUGCAUAUUCUUCGGGAAUAUGCAGUGUCGAAGAGAAGUCGUUAAGCUCACCACCUGGGAAGUAUGGUCGCAAGGCUGAAACUUAAAGGAAUUGGCGGGGGAGCACCACAAGGGGUGCGGCGUGCGGUUUAAUCUAAUUCAACACACAGAAUCUCACCAGCAGCGACGGCAGGAUGAAGAUCAGUUUGAAGGGCUUAUCCGACGAGCCGAGAGGUAGUGCAUGGCCGCCGUCAGCUCGUGCUGUAAGGUGUCCUGUUAAGUCAGGCAACGAGCAAGACCUGUAUCCAUAAUUGCUAACGGCCCUCUUUGGGGAUUCGAGCACAUUGUGGGGACUGCCUUCGAAAGGAGGAGGAAGGUGCAGGCAACGGUAGGUCUGUAUGCUCCGAAUCUGCUGGGCUACACGCGCGCAACAAUGGUAAGGACAAAAGGAUGCAACUCCGAAAGGAGAAGCUAAUCCCAAAAACCUUAUCUUAGUCUAGAUUGAGGAUUGUAACUCAUCCUCAUGA
Molecule: ribosomal RNA, 553 nt
Filed under: uncultured euryarchaeote
Lineage: Archaea; Methanobacteriati; Methanobacteriota
Description: bacterial SSU rRNA
Rfam family: Archaeal small subunit ribosomal RNA
Source: RNAcentral